RNAcentral lists this long non-coding RNA (698 nucleotides) under Nicotiana benthamiana. RNAcentral's name for it is "long non-coding RNA (NBEN_LNC014140)". Lineage: Eukaryota; Viridiplantae; Streptophyta; Magnoliopsida; Solanales; Solanaceae. The record is from RNAcentral.
AAAAAAAAGGAAUAUAGUUGUUAGCAUCCUAAUUUCUUUAAUGAGAAGCAAAGCAAUCGUUCAUACAGCAGUGUUGAACACACAGCUAAACCGAAAAGAUGAAAAAACAGGAGAAAAAAUUAAAACCAAGAACAAUCAGCUAAAGAACCUCAGUUAUCAAGCACCUAAUAAUUCUGCAAUUCGCAUAAACAAAUACACGAAAUUCCAUUUUCAAGCCCCCAAUAAAAGGAACUUUCAGCAAGAACCUCUGCAUCAACCGAUUCAGAUGAUACCCAUUUCAGCUCAUUAGAUUUACAACUGAUUGAAGCUCCCAUCAGUGGGAGGUAAAGAGUGUCAAAAAAACUUUUUUUUAAAAAUAAAAUAAAGAAAGAAAAGUACCUCAAACUUGCGAAGACUGCGGCAUGUAAUAGAGAGAGGGGAAAGCGAUAAAAGUAGAUGGAUGAUUCUAUUCUUUGGAAGACAUAAGCCUAGAAUUCAGAGGUCAGAGGUCAGAGGUUUUUGAUUGUUUCUAUGUAACACACUGCACCAUAAUAUUCUUGGUUUUUUCGCCAAUUAAAGUUACCCCAUAAAACAAAUGCAAAGAAAAUAAUAAAAUAAAGCAUGUAGUUCCAUUGGGUGGGUGAGAUGUAAGUAGUGGUAAUGGAAUAUUUAUUGUGUCACUAUAAUAGAAUAUUAAGUAACAAGCACCAAUCUAGACU